This 386-nucleotide ribosomal RNA is filed under the name Onychoteuthidae environmental sample cf. Onykia sp. Its description in RNAcentral is "partial 16S ribosomal RNA". The record is from RNAcentral. Lineage: Eukaryota; Metazoa; Mollusca; Cephalopoda; Oegopsida; Onychoteuthidae.
UAAUAAUUUGCCUUAUAAUUUGAGGCUAGAAUGAAUGGUUUGACGAAGGUUAAUCUGUCUCUGCUUUAUUUUUUAGAAUUUAAUUUUUAUAGUGAAAAAGCUUGUAUUUUUUAAAGGGACGAGAAGACCCUAAUGAGCUUAUAAUUUUAUUACUGGGUGAUUAUUUAUAUAAUUAAGGGUGUAUAAAUUUUAAUUGGGGUGAUUAAGGAAUAAUGUAGUUAGUAACUUCCUUAUAGAAAAUUUUGGUAGAUAAAGUAACCAAUAAAAUAUUGCUUAUAAUAUAGUUACCAUAGGGAUAACAGCGUAAUUUGUUUAGAGAGUUCUUAUUGAAAAACAAGAUUGCGACCUCGAUGUUGGAUUAAAGUAACCUUAAGGUGUAGAAGCUU